CGUAGGGGCGAGCGUUGUCCGAAGUUACUGGGCGUAAAGCGCGCGUAGGCGGCUUCUUAAGUCUGAGGUGAAAGGUUCAACGCUCAACGUGAACAGUGCCUUGGAUACUGGGAGGCUUGAGUAUGGGAGAGGGCAGUGGAAUGGCUGGUGUAGCGGUGAAAUGCGUAGAUAUCAGUCGGAACACCCAUGGCGAAGGCAGCUGCCUGGCCUAAUACUGACGCUGAGGUGCGAAAGCGUGGGGAGCGAACGGGAUUAGAUACCCCGGUAGUCCACGCCGUAAACGAUGAGUGCUAGGUGUCAGCGGUAUCGACCCCGCUGGUGCCGUCGCUAACGCAUUAAGCACUCCGCCUGGGGAGUACGGCCGCAAGGUUG
Molecule: ribosomal RNA, 372 nt
Filed under: uncultured organism
Description: bacterial SSU rRNA
Rfam family: Bacterial small subunit ribosomal RNA
Source: RNAcentral